RNAcentral lists this ribosomal RNA (253 nucleotides) under uncultured bacterium. RNAcentral describes it as "partial 16S ribosomal RNA". It matches the Rfam family "Bacterial small subunit ribosomal RNA", at positions 524 to 776 of the family's 1533-position model. The record is from RNAcentral.
GACGAACCGUGCGAACGUUGUUCGGAAUCACUGGGCUUAAAGGGCGCGUAGGCGGGUGGGCAAGUCCGGGGUGAAAUCUUUCGGCUCAACCGGAAAAGGGCCUUGGAUACUGCUCGUCUGGAGGGAGGUAGGGGUCUGUGGAACUGCUGGUGGAGCGGUGAAAUGCGUUGAUAUCAGCAGGAACGCCGGUGGCGAAAGCGACGGACUGGACCUCUUCUGACGCUGAGGCGCGAAAGCUAGGGGAGCAAACGGG